This 321-nucleotide ribosomal RNA is filed under the name uncultured eukaryote. RNAcentral's name for it is "partial 18S ribosomal RNA". It matches the Rfam family "Eukaryotic small subunit ribosomal RNA", at positions 1470 to 1796 of the family's 1831-position model. The record is from RNAcentral.
CCCUUAGAUGUUCUGGGCUGCACGCGCGCUACACUGAAGCGUUCAACGAGUAUUCACCUUGCCCGGGAGGGUUGGGUAAUCUUUUGAAAACGCUUCGUGAUGGGGAUAGAUUAUUGCAAUUAUUAAUCUUCAACGAGGAAUUCCUAGUAAACGCAAGUCAUCAGCUUGCAUUGAUUACGUCCCUGCCCUUUGUACACACCGCCCGUCGCACCUACCGAUUGAAUGGUCCGGUGAAAUCUCGGGACGGCGGCUUGGUCGCUUGCGUCCGACUGCUGAAACUUGAUUAAACCAUAUCAUUUAGAGGAAGGUGAAGUCGUAACA